This 1482-nucleotide long non-coding RNA is filed under the name Numida meleagris (helmeted guineafowl). RNAcentral describes it as "lncRNA (ENSNMEG00000002923.1)". The record is from RNAcentral. Lineage: Eukaryota; Metazoa; Chordata; Aves; Galliformes; Numididae.
UUUGGGUGGGAUUCCGCCCGUUUGGGUUCAGCCAAACUCUGCUUUUUUUGUAGGGCCGCGCCUCCAAAGCCCCCGAGGGCGGCCCCCGCAGCCGCCGUGGGGCGAGACCCCCCCUGAAAGCGGGCGAGGAAGAGGAGGAGGAGGAAGAGGAGGAGGAGGAAGAGGAAGAAGACGACGACGACGAGGAAGAGGAAGAGGGCAAGCCGGGCCCCGCCCCCUGUCAAGCCCCGCCCCCUUCCCCUCCCGCCCCGCCCCCUUCGCUUGACCAGCCCCUCCCAUUGGACAAAGCCCCGCCCGUCACCCCCGAAGCCCCGCCCUCGCAGGGCCAAGCCCCGCCCACGGAGGGCGAAGCCCCGCCCCCUGUUGCCGAAGCCACGCCCACACAGCCCCAAACCCCGCCCCCAGAGAGCGUGGCCACGCCCACUGAAAUACAGACCACGCCCCCUGCGGUCGAAGCCCCGCCCCCCGUGAUGGAAGCCCCGCCUCCACCGACCGAAGCCACGCCCACCAGCAGCAUGGCCACGCCCCCUCGUGAGGAAACCCCGCCCCCUUCCUCCCCCUCCCCCCUGCCGUUGGUGCAGGGGGCGGAGCCUGUGGCCCCGCCCACCGCAGAGGAGCCAAUCCCGCUUCCCCUGAGCAAAGAGCCCGCCCCCGAGGGCGGAGCUAUUGCGGAUACCCCGCCCACAGACGAGGCCCCGCCCCCCUCCUCGCCCCGAGGGCGCAGCCAAUCGUCUUCCUCCUCCUCGCCGCCACGGGGGCGUGGCCAAAACGCUGAGGACGAGCAGCCGGAGCCGACCCCAGCAGCGACCCCCAAGUGAGUGCGCGGUGCUAUGGGGCGGUUGUGGGGCACUGUGGGGUGACGGUGGGGCUGCGUCAGGCAGUUAUGGGGCGCUGCGGGGGGGUUACGGGGUACUGGGGGGGCUCUGGGGCAGUUGUGGGGUGCUGUGGGGCAGUAAUGGCGCUCUGGGGGUUGUUACUGGGAGUUAUGGGGCAGUUGCAGGGCUUUGUGGGGUGGUUAUGGGGCACUACGGGGAGGUUAUUAGAAUUUAUGGGGCAGUUUUGGGGUGCUAUGGGGCAGUAAUGGCGCUCUGUGGGGCACUGUAGGGGGUUAUGGGGCAACGUGGGGCUCUGUGGGGCAGUUAUGGGGCUCUGUGGGGCAGUUAUUAGCAUCUGGGGGCAGGUAUGGGGCACUGUGGGGCAACACGCUUCUCAUUAUGGGGUCUCUAUGAUCCUCUCUAUGGUCUUUUGGUCCUCCCUGUGGGUCCUCCUGUCUCUAGGGGGUCCUUCCUAUGUGAUCUCUAUGGGCCCUCCAUGGGUCCUCUCUAUGAUCCUCUCUAUGGUCUUUUGGUCCUCCCUGUGGGUCCUCCUGUGUCUAGGGGGUCCUCCCUAUGUGAUCUCUAUGGGCCCUCCAUGGGUCCUCUCUAUGAUCCUCUCUAUGGUCUUUUGGUCCUCCUUAUGUGAUCUCUAUGGGCCCUCCAUGGG